AUGGAAAAGCUGCUCACCGUAGUGUGUGUUUCAAGCCUUCUUCUAGCCACUCUCGCGGACGACGCCUCCUCCAGAUCUUCUCUUCAGCACCCCUCCCCGGACAGUCUACAAGGUCGUGUUCUAGGUCGCAGAGGCAGAGAGGAACCGGCACACCACCACCAUUACCGGCGUGAAGGCGACCACGAGGAGCAGCAUGAGCACGCACCAUUUUCUGCUCAGAAGAAAUUUGUUUUGUUCAGAAGAAAAUGUAUGGCACCAUCAGAGUUUUUUGACGACGAAGCACAAGUGCAGGUUGUGCCUAUGGGAGUGGAGAGUGUUGAAGAGAGGAGGAAGGCGGGCUGGAGGAACGAGGACGAGGAGGCGGUUGCGACGGAAGGGCUGAUCUCCAGCGCGGACUACAGCGGCGUGGCCAUGCACGGCCACAGCUCCCCGCCGGCGCACAAAAAGCACCCCAGGCCAUAG
Molecule: ribosomal RNA, 462 nt
Filed under: Triticum aestivum (bread wheat)
Lineage: Eukaryota; Viridiplantae; Streptophyta; Magnoliopsida; Poales; Poaceae
Description: partial small subunit ribosomal RNA
Source: RNAcentral